GUCGAGUUGAAAGCUUCCCUGCUGUGACAGAUGGAUGUGUAUUCAGAGGGCAUUGAAUUUGUAAGGUGGAUGAGACGGGCUUCUGAGUUAAGGGGCUGCUUUUAAGCCACCCUUCCCCCUCCCCUUCUGUUGAAAAAAAUAAUUUCUCAGGCACCAGGCUGUCAUCAACCCACUAAUUGUUUUGCCUCCAGGCAGGACCAGUUCUUGGGGCAAAUUACUUCUGGCUGUAGAGCCGUUUGGCCUCAGCAUUAUGCUGCUGACCAAAUGGCUGUUGUCACGGGGUGUCAGGCCUGCACGCUGGGGCCAAAGGAGGGAUGGUGUGUGUCUCCCCCAGCCCCCGCUGCUGCUCCUAGGCGGGUGGAGAGGGUCCUUCUGCUGCUGCUCUUUCCAGAUUGAGGAAGGGGGCUGGGGCUGUGGCAAAGGAGGGAAGAGGAGACUGGUGUCCUGGUCGCCGCUCUUCCUGUCUGAUGUGUGGAUUCCACAUCUUGUAGGGAAUCGAGUUCCCAGCCUCCAGGUGCAGCAGGGAGGGGCGGGGCGGUGUUGGGAUCCAGGUUCUGUCAGGGGACCAACCAUCGCCUGAAACUGCCCCUCACCGUGGCCAGGCAGGUGCCUGAGCUGUCUAACAGCAGGAGGCCCCGAUAAGGCACCAUGGUGGUGCCCUGAAGACUAACCCAGAGGAUUGGGAGGGGCCGAUAGGAGGGAGGAGAGGACCCACCUCCCCGGAGCCUUGGCGCUGGAAUCCUUCUUGGCUGAGAGCUGCAGGUGCCACCAAAAAAGACCCUGCGUCAGAUCAAUUACUGGCCGAGCAAGACAGUUGGUCAGAGACAACCUGGAAACUAACCGGAGAUUGCGAGCAGUGGCAGAGCAGCUCUCCUGGGUUCCCUCACCUGCUGCUCUCCACCCGGGCGCCCCUUCCCAGCAAAGUCCUUUGCGUUAUCAGCACGUGUGUCUCCACGGACAGUUCAUUUCUGAGUGUUAGACAGGAGCCCAUGCUCGGGCCCUGGACGGGGUUCCCCUCCCUGUAACAGUUCUGUUGGGUUUCCCUCCAGGGCUUGUUGCAAGUGAAACAUCAAGUGGUGAUUUUCAAUGCUGGCUGAUAUUCAGAGGCACCUGGGGAGCUUUUAAGAACACGCAGCGCCAGGGCUUGUUCCCUGUUAUGUCCCCAGCACAUAGCAAGCACGUGGCGGUCCACACAGGACAGGCACUGCCACACACUGUGUAAAAUUCGUUACAUUCUGUCUGUCCAGAAUGUCCAGGAAGGUGAGGAGAAGCAGUCUCUCAGCCCAUCAUUCAUACUUGAAGAGUCUGGGAGUACCCAUUGUGGCUCAGCAGAAACGAAUCUGACUAGGAUCCAUGAGGAUGCGGGUUCGAUCCCUGGCCUCGCUCAGUGGGUUAAGGAUCUGGCGUUGCCAUGAGCUGGGGUGUAGGUCACAGACGCAGCUCAGAUCCUGCAUUGCUGUGGCUGUGGCGUAGGCCGGCAGCUGUAGCUCUGAUUCAGCCCCUAGCCUGGGAACUUCCAUGUGCCGCAGGUGCAGCCCUAAAAAGCAAGCAAGCAACCAACCAAUAUGUGUGCAGAGUCUGGAGUAAGCUGGGAAUGUUUCCUUCCUUCCUGCAUCAGGUCCUCAGUAGUCAGGCAGCGCUGGUCCAGCUCAAAUGAGGUCCUGAUGCUCAUUAGCAUGAUUGUGCUUUUAGGUCAGUCCUGGACUCAGGAAUCUAGUGCUUUGUGAUCUAGCAUGAGACACAUAAACGUUGAGAAUAAACAGUCAUAAUAAGAAUAAAAAUGACAGCUUUCAUGUACAUACUGGGCAUGCCCGGCUCCAUGUCAGUGCUUUGCAUGUAUUUAAUUCUCACAUAACCAUUUGAGUGAGGCACUCUUGGACUAAGUAGUUUUCCUAGUGGUGGAGCCAGUCUGCAAACCCUGCCUCAUCUCAGAGGAUCAGCCUUGCUGGAAUGCAGACCUGGACAGUCAGACCUUGCAGAAUGUUUACAAAGCACAGACUCUGCUGAUGUUUAAGGCUUAGUGAAUUAAAAUGUAAAAUACUGGAUGACAAAGGACACAUCUAAGGGCUCAGCUGGCCCUCAGAGGCCGCUUGGUGAUGUUGGCUUUCAGGGCUACUGCCAGGGCAGCGGCACCUCCCCACACUGGCCCUGCCUGUACCUGGCCAUCUCUGGGGCCGUGUGGGGAGUUUUGCCCAGGGAGGCCCCGGGAGCACGCAGGGGUAUGGAGUGUGUGGUUUCCAGGGAGUCAAUGGCCUUCUUACAGAGAAAAGGCCCUCCUUGGGCCAGAGAAGCAAUAAAGAACAAGAUGGCAUUCGGCCUCAUGGAAUGGUGUGGAAGGAGGCAGAAGGUAAGUCGAGGGGGAAGGCCUCCUUGGAUUGGGUCAGAGAAGCUCCCCCAAGAAAGGCAGCCCGAGCCUAGGCCUGGAAGGGGUGGGGGGGAAGGUUCAGGGAGAAUUCCCAGUGUGAGCUCAGAAGUGGUCGUAAUGCUUACUCUCCCACAGCGCUUUGCUGCCGUGUAUUCCCGACAACAGUACUGGCCACGGACGGAAUUUCCAUUCAUAGAGGCGGAGGGAAGGUGUGCCAGGGCCCUAGCACCAGGCCAACACUUUGCCUGCUUCCUUCUGUCUGUCUGCCUGUCUGUCUUUUUAGGGCCACACCCAGGUUAGGGGUCACAUCCGAGCUGCAGCUGCCGGUAUACACCACAGCCACAGCAACGCCAGAUCCGAGCCACGUCUUUGACCUACACCGCAGCUCAAGGCAACGCUGGAUCCUUAACCCGCUGAGCGAGGCCGGGGAUCAAACCUGCAUCCUUCUGGAUACUAGUCAGAUUCAUUUCUGCUGAGCCACAAUGGGAACUCCCGCCUGCCUGCUCUUUUCCGUGUUAGCCACCAGCCAGUCCUCUGAAGUCAGUGUUGUUAAUCCCUUUUUUUUCACGUGAGGAAAUUGAGGUUCAGACAAAUAAAGCCAUGUUCCCAAGCCAUUCAGCUGAGCAAGUGACAGAGGUGGGAUCCAAGCUCUGGCCUCUCCCCCCGAACACAUCCUUCUCCUGUGUAUGUGUCCUGGACCACACAGUUGUGAGAGUCGGACCAGGGACUCGAACCCACAUCCUGAGAGGGCCUGGGAUGGAAGCGCUUGUUGGGAAUAGAAUCUGCCCUGAGGGCGGGGCUGGAGAAGAGGGCUCGGAAGUGGACACUGAAUGUGUGAUAUCUUAAGUAGCUCUUGAAGGGUUUUGAGCAAAGACAUGAGAUGAUGAUUGCGGCGCGUGAGCAAAAAUAUUACGGUGCAGUUUUGCUGGAGGAACCACAGCAGGAGAGACCCGCCUGGGUGGCUAAUGACAGGGCUCGGGCCAGGGUGGUGACAGAGGGCAUGGCUUGUCACAGGGGAGGGCCCGAAGGCUGGAGAAAACGGUUUCCAGCCCCUUUCCAUGAGUCCUUCCAAGAAAAGCCAUCCAUUGCAAACAGCAUGCUGUUGAUGAUGGAGGCAGCCGUUCCUGGCGCUUCCUGGUGAGCCUUGGGGCAUCUGCCUCCUUUUUAGCAAAAUCCAUUCCUAUUUUGCACCCAGUUUUCUCAUCUCCCUGUGUUUCACUGUUGGUAGGAAGGUUUGUUAUCAAUGGGUUUUUAAAUUUUUCUCCCGUGUGGUCCUUGUCUGGAAGAGCCACAAUUUAAAACAUUUUGACCUCUGCCCAGGCAUUUCUGGAUUUUUCUAUGUGUGUAAUUUCUAAGAGGGAGGAACUCGCUGGGAUCCCAUAACCAAGCGUGACAUUUUUGAGGUGGGAAAGAGGGAGAAGGCUUUCUUCCCUCACAUCUCUCACCGCCUUCACCCCAACAGCUGGCUGGCCUGCGAAGCGGCUUUUUUGGACUGGGUUGUUUCUUAGAUGAAAGAAGAAAAGCUCUGGUCACUUUUAGCUGCUUGAAACAAAUAAACAAAAACCCACCAGACUUUCGGCCCCCUGUCGUCUGUUUACCUGGAAGAGCCCUCCCACGCCUCACGGCUCACGGCACAGCCGCUGGCUGGUGCAUAGUGAACAGGUAAGAGCAAGCACCUCACUCACAGCAGCGCAGAGCGUGGCCUUUGCAGCCGACCAGCCGGCCAUCCUUUUGGAGGCAGCCCUUGUACAGUUUGAACCGUUUAAACUUUGAAGUCAGAAGUAUAUUUGACCUCCCCAGUGUGUGGGGCUAAUGUGGGUGAGAUUGGAACACAAGUCACCUAGAUUCCAAGCUCUCCUUAAAGACGUUUUAGCAAAUCAUUUAGCAAAUUAUGCAGCAGGUAAAUUUUAAAAAAAUUUUAUUUAUUAAUUUUUUUUAGUAGAAGCAUUGUUCAGCUAAAUGAAUUUUUUUCUUUUGGCUGCACCCUGGGCAUAUGGAAUUCCUGGCCUGGCCAGGGAUCAAAUUCGAGUCACAGUUUCAGCAAUGCUGGAUCCUCUUUUUUUUGUUUGUCUUUUCAGAGCCCCACCCGAAGCAUAUGGAAGUUCCCAGGCUAUGGGUCGAAUCAUAGGUACAGCUGCCGGCCUACGCUACAGCCACAACAACGUAGGAGCCGAGCCACAUCUGUGACCUACGCCACAGCUCACGGUAGUGCUGGAUCCUUAAUCCACUGAGCAAGGCCAGGGAUGGAACCUGCAUCCUUAUGAAUUUUAGUCGGGUUUUUUCCUGCUGAGCCACGAUGGGAAUUCCCAGAUCCUUUAACCCACUGUGCCAGGCGAGGUAAUCAAAUCUGUGUCCUGGUGCUGCAGAAAUGUCACCAACCCCAUUGUGCCACAGCGGGAGCUCCUAAAUGAUUUUUUUUUUUUAAGGUCAUAUUUUCUGUUGUAGUAGAACAUUUGUACCAGUUUCCCAUUGCAGCUGUUUGUAAGUGUGUGAUGCGGUGGCGUCAGGUACAUCCACGCUGGGCAGCCGUCACCACCAUCCAUCUGUAGAGCUUUCUCACCUUUCCCAGCCGAAACUCUGUACCGACGACUCCAUACCUUCCCAUCGGCUCUCCUUCCAGCUCCUGGGAACCGCCUUCUGCUUCCUGUCCCUGAAUUUGAUGAUUCUGGAAGCCUCGUCCAAGUGGGACCAAGCAGUGUUUUGUCCUUUCGUGUCUGGCUGAUUUCGCUUAGCAUUAUCAGUCACGUUCAUCCGUGUCGUAGCAUGUGUCAGGAUUUCCUUUGUUUUUAAGGUUGACUCCGAGUCCAUUGUUGUUUUGAAUAUACCACAUUUUGCCUAUUCAUUCAUCUGUCAGGAGACACUGAGCUAAAUUUUAAGGUCAUUUCCAGUGUUGCGAUUUUAUGAAUCGCUGAUUUUCCUUUUGUAACCUCAUUUUUUUUCCUCAUCAUAAAAUAGCACUGGCAACAAUGGAUUCUUUGGGGGGAUCAAUUAAAACUUUGUUAGUAAUGUUCUGGGUAUUCUCUCAUGACGCAGUGGAUGAAGGAUCUGGCGUUGUCAUUGCAGCGACUUAGGCCGAUGCUGUGGCGUGGGUUUGGUCCCUGGCUCGGGAACUUCCAUAUGGCAUGGGCGCAGCCAAAAAAAAAAUGUAUCAGUAAUAUUCUUUUCAAGAAGGACAUACAAUUUAAUGAGAAGGUGUUGCUUCUUAUGUUUCAUGUCUGAAGGCUGGGAGAGGUGACAUGGACAAAGUAUCUUAAGGUGGGGAGAGCAGUGCCACCUGGGGGCGGUGAGAGCUUGGGACCUGGCCAGGGACCCCUUCCUGCCUCUCAUGAUCUCAGAACCCUCUGGUCGACAGAUCCCCUGGGAGCCAGUGUUUCCUUGUCCUUGACGUUCUCCGGUGGUCGCUGCCCUGGAAUAGUUAGUAUGGAACCAGGAGGCCAUCACCCAACAGGGUAACUUCGUGCAGGACAAGUCCCUCAGUUGAGAGAUUUAAAAUUCACAGACAUUGGAGUCGAGAGAGAAUUAUGACGCCCGAGAAGGAGCUAACGCUAAUAUUUACCUUUAGCAAUUGACAGCUUAUUUAAAAACAGUGAAGGAUGUUGGCACAGGGAAGGGAGGAUGGAGUCUAGCGCCUGCCUACCCCAUAGUAAAUUCCGGGAGGCGAACACAUGCUGUGAAUUUAUGGCUGUGCAUUGGAAUCCUGGUUUCACGCGUUCUGGAAAGCCCGCUGGGUUGUUCUACGUUAAGGCAAGCCGUAAGGUGCCAGUCCUGAGUACUAGUGGGGAGACUUGUCCGGGCGAUAGCUGCCUAAAGGGGAGCUGCCUUGGGCCUCCGUGGCAUUGAUUUGGGGGCAGCUCUGUGGUUACAUUUAAAGUUCCUCAAGGCUCUUUUUCCCUUCUGUUGCCAAAACAUCUAUUGCGGUUUUUUUUCUCUUUUAAAAGUCAUGGAGGGGAGUUCCCUGGUGGUCUAGUGGUUAGGAUUCGGCACUUUCACUGCUGCGGCCUGGGUUUAAUCCCUGGUCUGGGAACUGAGAUCCCACAUCAAGCCACUGUGUGCUGCAGCCAGAAAAAAUUAAAAUAAGUAAAUAGGAUUUCUUGUGGCGCAUACUGGUUAAGGAUCUACCAUCAUCACCACCGUGGUUUGAGUCACCUCUGUGGCACAGGUUCAGUCUCUGGCCCGGGAACUUCCACAUGCUGGGGGCGUGGCCAAAUGAAUAAAUAAAUAAAUAAUAAAAGUAAUGCAGGAUCAUUGUAGAAAAUUGGCAAAUACAGAAAAAUAUAAAGAGGGAAGAAUCACCUCUAGGCCUCCCACCAGAGGUAACCCAUGUUCCUGUGUCACAAGGCAGCCUUAUGUUUUUCUUUGUAGGCACGUCUCCUUGUGAGACUACAUCCUUCUAAAAUAUGAUCUCUAAUUAGCUACAUGGUAUUCCGCUAUAUACACGAACGAUUUAUAAUUUAACAAUUUAUAAUUUAUGAAAAACAAUUUCUAAUUUAACAUUUAAGGAGUUUCCGUUACGGCUCAGAGCCCUGCAAGUAUCCAUGAAACCUCGCUCAGUGGGUUAAGGAUCCCGCGUUGUCGUGAGCUGUGGUGUAGGUCGUAGGUGCGGCUUGAAUCCUGCAUCGUGCUGGCUGUAGUGUAGGCCAGCAGCUACAGCUCUGAUUCGAUCCCUAGCCUGGGAACUUCCAUGUGCCGUGGGUGUAGGCCUAAAAAGAAACAAAAAAACCCUCCAAAAACCAAAAGCUAACAAUCUCCAGUUAUGAGAAACAUAGGCGAGGUCCAAAUUUUGCUGUAAUCAUCAAUGCUAUUAUAAACUCGCUUUUGUAUAUACAUCUCCGUGCAUGUCUUUGGUCAUUUUCAGAGGAUACAUUCCUAAGAAGGAUUAUAAAGAUUCUGUUACAUCUUUAGUUAUUAUUUCCCUUUUAUUUGUUGUAGCCUCAAUUUCAUCAUCUUUUUCAUUGAUUUAAUUUCUUUUCCUGUGUUCUUUCCCUGUAAUCUUUUUCUUCUUCUCAAUUCUAUAGUAUUGAUUUUGAUGGGGUUUUUUUUAAUUGUCUUUAAAAUGGAAAUUUAAAAAAAUGCAAUUGUGUUUUUGGUUUCCUGGUAUUUUCUAAUUUUAUUCUGCUUUUUUAAAAAAAGUUUGAGUCUGAAACAAGCAUACGUUUUCCACAUUUUUCUUCUGUUUCCAGAGGUCUACGCUUUGUAUCUUCAAUGCAACAUUUUACAUAUGGCUGUUGUGUUGCAGAGUAUUUCUGGAAGCUUCACAGUCUGAAUUGUUGGUUUGUCCUGGAGUGAAGACAGUUUGGUCAGGUCCUGGAUUUGCCCGCAGACAGGGCAUGCCACUUCUGCUUGGCUCCCCUCUGGCUGCCUUGUUGCUGAUAGAACCUCUUUUUGGGUCUGAGGUUGUUAGUAAAAAUUUAUGCCUCCGUUUCAGCCCUUUCAUUUCCCUGUGGGCUUGGGGACGUGGGACCCAUGGGUGGAGCCAGCAGGGAAGCUCUCCUUGCUGUUUCUUCUGCGUUUGUUAGAGUUGCUGAGAUGGGGUCAGCUUCACGCUCGGGGCUUUUUUCUUUUCCAUUCCUGCUGGCCGUAGGCUGUGAUUGUGGCCAGCGCCCCCCCGUUUGUCACAUUCAGGCAAGCUCUUGCCGCCCUGAUGGAGGUUAUCACACCUCUGGCCUUGGAGCCCAUCCCUUGCUUUUCAGAUACCGCUUCCUAGAGCUUUGAAACAGUCCAAGUGAGAUGCUUAUCCCAGCAGUUCCCGUUCUGGCUCAGCGGUAACGAACCUGACCAGUGUCCAUCAGGAUGUGGGUUCGAUCCCUGGCUUUGCUCAGUGGGUUAAGGAUCUGGUGUUGCCAUGAGCUGUGGUGUAGGUUGCAGAUGUGACUUGGAUCUGGCGUUGCUAUGGCUGUGGUGUAGGCAGGCCUGCAGCUGCAGCUCCGAUUUGACCCCUGCCUAGCUUGGGAACUUCCAUAUGCCACAUCUUCAGCCCUUAAAAACAUAAAGAAAAAAGAAAUGUUUUUUUUUUCCAGCUCCCAGGCUACUCAGUGCUGGCCCCUCUCUGUCAAGGGUCAUUAGUUGGGUUUCACCAGGGUCUCUUUCAGUUAAUUUCUGUAUCCUGCUGCUGAUGUUUCGAAGGGCAGUUCACAUAUGGCCUAGGUAGCCUUUUCACAUCUGGUCCCAGCUAUACUGUUUCUAUCUACCAGCAAUUCCCUUUCCAUCCUUCCUAUCCUUACGCCAAGCGUAAAUCUUCCAGGGUGUUAUUUAGGGGAGAGAGACGAACCCCUAAGCUGGCGUGGAUCCCUCUGUGUGUGUGUGUGUGUGUGUGUGUGUGUGUGUGUGUCCCCCGCUGGGUGCAGCAUUUCCCUUCCCUCGCUGGCCUGGCACUGAGUGCUGCCCUGGGCUCUCCGACUUCAAAGCUGUUCUCCCAGAGGUAGCUGUCCUUAAACUCAAAUGCAAACGAAAGGCAUUUCUGAGCUCUUUAAAAAAAUAAAUAAAUAAAUAAAAUAAAAAAAA
Molecule: transfer RNA, 8866 nt
Filed under: Sus scrofa (pig)
Lineage: Eukaryota; Metazoa; Chordata; Mammalia; Artiodactyla; Suidae
Description: lncRNA (ENSSSCG00045027406.1)
Rfam family: tRNA (bases 6318-6389)
Source: RNAcentral